AAAAACUUCGGCAAGAACGUGGAGCUUGUGUGUGAGACUUGUGUGCUAACUUAGACCACAAGCCCCCUCACGAGCCCUGUUUUUACGAACCCUGUGUGAACCGUAAUAUUUAUUCCGUCCACGUAAUACGAAAUUUCUAGUCUAAAGUCUUCUUCAUAUCACGAGAAUAUGAUAAAAA
This 178-nucleotide unclassified non-coding RNA is filed under the name soil metagenome. RNAcentral's name for it is "partial internal transcribed spacer 1". The record is from RNAcentral.